Chiloscyllium plagiosum (whitespotted bambooshark) is the source of this 228-nucleotide non-coding RNA. NCBI's taxonomy places the organism in Eukaryota, Metazoa, Chordata, Chondrichthyes, Orectolobiformes, Hemiscylliidae. The record is from RefSeq and is a predicted model, not a curated record.
UUUCGAACGUGAAGCAAAACAACCAAACUGACGAAGCGACCCCAGAGCCCAAACACCACCGCGUUAACGAGACUCAGAACCCAUAGAAUGGAUCCUUCAGCCCCCAGUGCAUAAUUAAUAUCAGCAUAGUUAAAUAUGCAGCCGAGGGAUCACUGACUGAACCAGCUUUUAUCACCUACCUUUAAUUAACAGUCAGCUACAUUGUUGUGGAUCUGGAGUCACAUGCAG